Molecule: ribosomal RNA, 468 nt
Filed under: uncultured bacterium
Lineage: Bacteria
Description: partial 16S ribosomal RNA
Rfam family: Bacterial small subunit ribosomal RNA
Source: RNAcentral
GACGAACGCUGGCGGCGUGCUUAACACAUGCAAGUCGAACGGAAAGGCCCUGCUUUUGUGGGGUGCUCGAGUGGCGAACGGGUGAGUAACAAGUGAGUAACCUGCCCUUGACUUUGGGAUAACUUCAGGAAACUGGGGCUAAUACCGGAUAGGAGCUCCUGCUGCAUGGUGGGGGUUGGAAAGGUUCGGCGGUUGGGGAUGGACUCGCGGCUUAUCAGCUUGUUGGUGGGGUAGUGGCUUACCAAGGCUUUGACGCGUAGCCGGCCUGAGAGGGUGACCGGCCACAUUGGGACUGGGAUGCGGCCCAGCCUCCUCCGGGAGGCAGCAGAGGGGAAUAUUGCACAAUGGGCUGAAGCAUGAUGCAGCAAAGCCGCGUGCGGGAUGACGGCAUUCGGGUUGUAAACCGCUUUCGCAUGUGACGAAGCGUGAGUGACGGUAAUGGGUAAAGAAGCACCGGCUAACUACGUG